Molecule: ribosomal RNA, 2900 nt
Filed under: Klebsiella pneumoniae
Lineage: Bacteria; Pseudomonadati; Pseudomonadota; Gammaproteobacteria; Enterobacterales; Enterobacteriaceae
Description: 23S ribosomal RNA
Rfam family: Bacterial large subunit ribosomal RNA
Source: RNAcentral
UUAAGCGACUAAGCGUACACGGUGGAUGCCCUGGCAGUCAGAGGCGAUGAAGGACGUGCUAAUCUGCGAAAAGCGUCGGUAAGGUGAUAUGAACCGUUAUAACCGGCGAUGUCCGAAUGGGGAAACCCAGUGCAAUUCGUUGCACUAUCGUUAACUGAAUACAUAGGUUAACGAGGCGAACCGGGGGAACUGAAACAUCUAAGUACCCCGAGGAAAAGAAAUCAACCGAGAUUCCCCCAGUAGCGGCGAGCGAACGGGGAGCAGCCCAGAGUCUGAAUCAGCUUGUGUGUUAGUGGAACGGUCUGGAAAGUCCGACGGUACAGGGUGAUAGUCCCGUACACCAAAAUGCACAGGCUGUGAACUCGAAGAGUAGGGCGGGACACGUGGUAUCCUGUCUGAAUAUGGGGGGACCAUCCUCCAAGGCUAAAUACUCCUGACUGACCGAUAGUGAACCAGUACCGUGAGGGAAAGGCGAAAAGAACCCCGGCGAGGGGAGUGAAAAAGAACCUGAAACCGUGUACGUACAAGCAGUGGGAGCACCUUCGGGUGUGACUGCGUACCUUUUGUAUAAUGGGUCAGCGACUUAUAUUCUGUAGCAAGGUUAACCGUAUAGGGGAGCCGCAGGGAAACCGAGUCUUAACUGGGCGUUAAGUUGCAGGGUAUAGACCCGAAACCCGGUGAUCUAGCCAUGGGCAGGUUGAAGGUUGGGUAACACUAACUGGAGGACCGAACCGACUAAUGUUGAAAAAUUAGCGGAUGACUUGUGGCUGGGGGUGAAAGGCCAAUCAAACCGGGAGAUAGCUGGUUCUCCCCGAAAGCUAUUUAGGUAGCGCCUCGUGAAUUCAUCUUCGGGGGUAGAGCACUGUUUCGGCUAGGGGGUCAUCCCGACUUACCAACCCGAUGCAAACUACGAAUACCGAAGAAUGUUAUCACGGGAGACACACGGCGGGUGCUAACGUCCGUCGUGAAGAGGGAAACAACCCAGACCGCCAGCUAAGGUCCCAAAGUCAUGGUUAAGUGGGAAACGAUGUGGGAAGGCACAGACAGCCAGGAUGUUGGCUUAGAAGCAGCCAUCAUUUAAAGAAAGCGUAAUAGCUCACUGGUCGAGUCGGCCUGCGCGGAAGAUGUAACGGGGCUAAACCAUGCACCGAAGCUGCGGCAGCGACACUAUGUGUUGUUGGGUAGGGGAGCGUUCUGUAAGCCUGCGAAGGUGACCUGUGAGGGUUGCUGGAGGUAUCAGAAGUGCGAAUGCUGACAUAAGUAACGAUAAAGCGGGUGAAAAGCCCGCUCGCCGGAAGACCAAGGGUUCCUGUCCAACGUUAAUCGGGGCAGGGUGAGUCGACCCCUAAGGCGAGGCCGAAAGGCGUAGUCGAUGGGAAACAGGUUAAUAUUCCUGUACUUGGUGUUACUGCGAAGGGGGGACGGAGAAGGCUAUGUUAGCCGGGCGACGGUUGUCCCGGUUUAAGCAUGUAGGCUGGUUGUCCAGGCAAAUCCGGAUAAUCAAGGCUGAGGUGUGAUGACGAGGCACUACGGUGCUGAAGUAACAAAUGCCCUGCUUCCAGGAAAAGCCUCUAAGCAUCAGGUAACAUCAAAUCGUACCCCAAACCGACACAGGUGGUCAGGUAGAGAAUACCAAGGCGCUUGAGAGAACUCGGGUGAAGGAACUAGGCAAAAUGGUGCCGUAACUUCGGGAGAAGGCACGCUGGUGUGUAGGUGAAGCCCCUGCGGGUGGAGCUGAGACCAGUCGAAGAUACCAGCUGGCUGCAACUGUUUAUUAAAAACACAGCACUGUGCAAACACGAAAGUGGACGUAUACGGUGUGACGCCUGCCCGGUGCCGGAAGGUUAAUUGAUGGGGUUAUCCGUAAGGAGAAGCUCUUGAUCGAAGCCCCGGUAAACGGCGGCCGUAACUAUAACGGUCCUAAGGUAGCGAAAUUCCUUGUCGGGUAAGUUCCGACCUGCACGAAUGGCGUAAUGAUGGCCAGGCUGUCUCCACCCGAGACUCAGUGAAAUUGAACUCGCUGUGAAGAUGCAGUGUACCCGCGGCAAGACGGAAAGACCCCGUGAACCUUUACUAUAGCUUGACACUGAACAUUGAGCCUUGAUGUGUAGGAUAGGUGGGAGGCUUUGAAGCGUGGACGCCAGUCUGCGUGGAGCCAACCUUGAAAUACCACCCUUUAAUGUUUGAUGUUCUAACGUUGGCCCCUUACCGGGGUUGCGGACAGUGUCUGGUGGGUAGUUUGACUGGGGCGGUCUCCUCCCAAAGCGUAACGGAGGAGCACGAAGGUUAGCUAAUCCUGGUCGGACAUCAGGAGGUUAGUGCAAUGGCAUAAGCUAGCUUGACUGCGAGCGUGACGGCGCGAGCAGGUGCGAAAGCAGGUCAUAGUGAUCCGGUGGUUCUGAAUGGAAGGGCCAUCGCUCAACGGAUAAAAGGUACUCCGGGGAUAACAGGCUGAUACCGCCCAAGAGUUCAUAUCGACGGCGGUGUUUGGCACCUCGAUGUCGGCUCAUCACAUCCUGGGGCUGAAGUAGGUCCCAAGGGUAUGGCUGUUCGCCAUUUAAAGUGGUACGCGAGCUGGGUUUAGAACGUCGUGAGACAGUUCGGUCCCUAUCUGCCGUGGGCGCUGGAGAAUUGAGGGGGGCUGCUCCUAGUACGAGAGGACCGGAGUGGACGCAUCACUGGUGUUCGGGUUGUCAUGCCAAUGGCACUGCCCGGUAGCUAAAUGCGGAAGAGAUAAGUGCUGAAAGCAUCUAAGCACGAAACUUGCCCCGAGAUGAGUUCUCCCUGAGACUAUAAGUCUCCUGAAGGAACGUUGAAGACGACGACGUUGAUAGGCCGGGUGUGUAAGCGCAGCGAUGCGUUGAGCUAACCGGUACUAAUGAACCGUGAGGCUUAACCUU